This 2142-nucleotide long non-coding RNA is filed under the name Bemisia tabaci. RNAcentral's name for it is "lncRNA ENSASIAIIG010093". Lineage: Eukaryota; Metazoa; Arthropoda; Insecta; Hemiptera; Aleyrodidae. The record is from RNAcentral.
GACAUCCCAUCUUCACUCCUAGGUGUUGAUUCCGGAUCUGAUUCUUUAAGUACGACGAGUGCGUUUUCAGAAUUCACCAGUGACAGUGAGUUAUCUAGGCAACCUUCAUUAACUAAUGUGGCAUUGGAGGACAUUCCCAAAGAUGAAUAUUAUUCAGGAGAACCAUACAUUCCGGCUGACAUAAAGCCAGAUUUAAGAAAUCUAGACGCAAUAAGUGCUGAUGUUUCAUCCAAAGAGAAAAUCUUAGAAGAAUCUUUACACUUAAAUGAUGUGAUUUUGUCAUUUCGGAAAACCGACAUAAGGUCUAAUUCAGAAAAAGACAAUGAAAAUGCGAAACCUAGUCCCGAGCUUGAAGAUGCCUUAUUAUUAAUGAACCAAUCUAGCAAUGAUGACUCCAAAUUUCUUCAAACUAUUAACUCUCAUCAUAGCAAUAAACAUUUUUUGGACCUAUCAUCAGCUAGUUCUUAUGCUGAAAGAAAUUCUUCCUGUAUGUCUACCCCUAAACAACUUGAUAAAGAUAAUCACUCGAUUCUAUCUGAGAAAAGUCAUCUUGAAGAUGGUAAGUGGGGAAAUUGAUUCAUUAAAGUAUUCAAGUAUGACCUGUGUAGAAUUUUAUUUUUGCACAGCCAAAAAUGUGUUAAGAACAGUAAUAUGAUUUAAAGGGAUCUGGUAUAACUUGAGUGUCUAUGGAUAUCACAUAUUAUCGAGACAAGUCGAAGAUGUGUAAUUUUAUGUACAAUAAAGAAUGUCUGUCAAGUGUUGUUUAAACAGGGAUGAUCUGUAGGGUUCAUGAACUCUAACAUGAAUUGCCUCCAAUUUACCAGCACCCAAUGGAAUUUUUUGCCAUUCAAUGCAACUUUCAGACCUUCUCUCAUAAUAUUACAAGAUUUGUAUGAAAGAUAUUUUAAAUGAAGUAAUCAGAUGAAAUUAGUUUUUUCAAACACUUAGCACAACAUUUUGUUGAUUUGUAUGAUAAAUACAAGAACACAUCUAUGCAGACUUAAGUAUCACAUUUUUCCUAAUUGAAAAAACAUGACACAUACAGCGAAACUUCAGAAAUGCGUAUCUUAGUUUGUAGCAUUGUAGAAUUUCGGGCAUAUUUUAUUCUCCACAUGGAAAACUGCAAAAAUUAAUUUCUUAAACACUUCGAUGAUUAUACCUCUGCAUGUAAAGAAUAUUCAGUGAAAAUUUCAAGCCGCAAUGUUAGUUUGGUGUCCUCCUAAGAAAUGGAAUGGGAGCGGAGAUUUAUAAACACGGAACUGGAGCUAUCCUUUUUUCCAGUUGUAACGUUGACAUGCUUGUGAAGAAAUGAACUUCUUUGCUGUGUUCCCCCACACCCAUGCCUCCUUUGAUCGGUGGGUAAAAGCACUACUCACCAGUCAACCCCUCCUUCUCUUGCGCAGGGUGAUCUGAAAGUUCAGCCUCACUAGCACCGUGCAUCAGCCCUAUAACUUUUGAAAAAAUUGAGUUAGACUCGAAAUUUUGUGAGUGCUCCUAAGUUCAAGGAAACUACUUUGGCACCCCUUCCCUCCAAAUUCUAUGGGAACCACCCUGAAAAUGGCAACCCUGGGGCUAAAGGGUUGGCGCUGAAAUUUUGGACCAUCCUGUAUCCUGUUGCUAUUUUUUCUUUUCAAUUAUACCCUAAGAAUUUGAAGUUGCCAGUUCAGCAUGCACGUUUCAAACCAAAAUAAUCAAAGCCUUUGCUAACGAAGAAUGCAUGUUACAAUUUCAUUUUCAAGGAAAUUUAUUUUGUAGUAAAUUUUGCAAGAAAAUUUACUUUAAUAUCGUGGAUUUCAGCUCUACAAUGCAAUCGUAGCAUCAAUUGAAACUUUAUUAACCCAUAAGACUUAUUGUAGCUUUUACGUUUCCCUCAAAAACAUUGUAUCACGUAGACAGUGCAUCCUGUGUUCCGAAAGGCGAGACAACUUUUAAAAUUCGCAUGCGAUGAGUGGUGGCAUUUGGGUGGCAUCAACCCGCAUCGAUGAGUUCGUGUGUCCCAGUUGCGCACAUCUGCGCAUGCGCAGUAGCGGCUCCAGUGAAUUUUCGUCGGAUUGUAAGGCUUUUUUCCUCGGUUAAUAAUUAGUUUGGAAAAAUGAAACAAUGCUAAUCGGGUGUAAAAUUAUGUGUUCUAUAAUUCUUCUU